Molecule: small nuclear RNA, 170 nt
Organism: Camelus dromedarius (Arabian camel)
Lineage: Eukaryota; Metazoa; Chordata; Mammalia; Artiodactyla; Camelidae
Gene: U4
Rfam family: U4 spliceosomal RNA
About the family: U4 small nuclear RNA (U4 snRNA) is a component of the major U2-dependent spliceosome. The structure of U4 snRNA from yeast and human has been reported. U4 snRNA presents a k-turn RNA motif in the 5p-SL related to recognition of Snu13 protein.
Source: Ensembl
AACUUUGCACAGUGGCAGUAUUGUAGCCAAUGAGGUUUAUCUGAGGUGUGAUUAUUGCCAAUUAAAAUUCAGCUGUCAGUUUAUUCCUCGUCUAGGGUUAGAGACAGCAAGUCACUUUGAGCCAGGGGCUCUUUUGAAGACUCUCUCAACCUAUAUUCAUGGGAUAGGAG